AAUCCUAGAGAUAGGACGUCCCCUUCGGGGGCAGAGUGACAGGUGGUGCAUGGUUGUCGUCAGCUCGUGUCGUGAGAUGUUGGGUUAAGUCCCGCAACGAGCGCAACCCUUGAUCUUAGUUGCCAGCAUUCAGUUGGGCACUCUAAGGUGACUGCCGGUGACAAACCGGAGGAAGGUGGGGAUGACGUCAAAUCAUCAUGCCCCUUAUGACCUGGGCUACACACGUGCUACAAUGGACAGAACAAAGGGCAGCG
Molecule: ribosomal RNA, 254 nt
Filed under: Bacillus subtilis
Lineage: Bacteria; Bacillati; Bacillota; Bacilli; Caryophanales; Bacillaceae
Description: partial 16S ribosomal RNA
Rfam family: Bacterial small subunit ribosomal RNA
Source: RNAcentral